Molecule: ribosomal RNA, 497 nt
Filed under: uncultured bacterium
Lineage: Bacteria
Description: partial 16S ribosomal RNA
Rfam family: Bacterial small subunit ribosomal RNA
Source: RNAcentral
GAUGAACGCUGGCGGCGUGCCUAAUACAUGCAAGUCGAGCGAACGGACGAGAAGCUUGCUUCUCUGAUGUUAGCGGCGGACGGGUGAGUAAAACGUGGAUAACCUACCUAUAAGACUGGGAUAACUUCGGGAAACCGGAGCUAAUACCGGAUAAUAUUUUGAACCGCAUGGUUCAAAAGUGAAAGAAGGUCUUGCUGUCACUUAUAGAUGGAUCCGCGCUGCAUUAGCUAGUUGGUAAGGUAACGGCUUACCAAGGCAACGAUGCAUAGCCGACCUGAGAGGGUGAUGGUCCACACUGGAACUGAGACACUGUCCAGACUCCUACGGGAGGCCGCAGUAUGGAAUCUUCCGCAAUAGGCGAAAGCCUGACGGAGCAACGCCGCGUGAGUGAUGAAGGUCUUCGGAUCGUAAAACUCUGUUAUUAGGGAAGAACAUAUGUGUAAGUAACUGUGCACAUCUUGACGGUACCUAAUCAGAAAGCCACGGCUAACUACGUG